CGGCAAAAGCUCAAAUUUGAAAUCUGGCGCAAGCCCGAGUUGUAAUUUGUAGAGGAUGCUUCUGGGCAGCGGCCGGUCUAAGUUUCUUGGAACAGAACGUCACAGAGGGUGAGAAUCCCGUAUGUGACUGGCUUGCACCCUCCACGUAGCUCCUUCGAC
Molecule: ribosomal RNA, 159 nt
Filed under: Pseudocercospora sp.
Lineage: Eukaryota; Fungi; Ascomycota; Dothideomycetes; Mycosphaerellales; Mycosphaerellaceae
Description: partial large subunit ribosomal RNA
Rfam family: Eukaryotic large subunit ribosomal RNA
Source: RNAcentral